UACGAAGGGAGCUAGCGUUGUUCGGAAUCACUGGGCGUAAAGCGCGCGUAGGCGGUCCUGCAAGUCGGGGGUGAAAGCCCGAGGCUCAACCUCGGAACUGCCUUCGAUACUGCGGGUCUCGAGUCCGGGAGAGGUGAGUGGAAUUCCUAGUGUAGAGGUGAAAUUCGUAGAUAUUAGGAAGAACACCAGUGGCGAAGGCGGCUCACUGGCCCGGUACUGACGCUGAGGCGCGAAAGCGUGGGGAGCAAACAGG
Molecule: ribosomal RNA, 253 nt
Filed under: uncultured bacterium
Lineage: Bacteria
Description: partial 16S ribosomal RNA
Rfam family: Bacterial small subunit ribosomal RNA
Source: RNAcentral